Molecule: ribosomal RNA, 505 nt
Filed under: uncultured bacterium
Lineage: Bacteria
Description: partial 16S ribosomal RNA
Rfam family: Bacterial small subunit ribosomal RNA
Source: RNAcentral
GACGAACGCUGGCGGCGUGCCUAAUACAUGCAAGUAGAACGCACAGUUUAUACCGUAGCUUGCUACACCAUAAACUGUGAGUUGCGAACGGGUGAGUAACGCGUAGGUAACCUGCCUGGUAGCGGGGGAUAACUAUUGGAAACGAUAGCUAAUACCGCAUAAUAUUGAUUAUUGCAUGAUAAUUGAUUGAAAGAUGCUAUUGCAUCACUACCAGAUGGACCUGCGUUGUAUUAGCCAGUAGGUGAGGUAACGGCUCACCUAGGCGACGAUACAUAGCCGACCUGAGAGGGUGAGCGGCCACACUGGGACUGAGACACGGCCCAGACUCCUACGGGAGGCAGCAGUAGGGAAUCUUCGGCAAUGGACGAAAGUCUGACCGAGCAACGCCGCGUGAGUGAAGAAGGUUUUCGGAUCGUAAAGCUCUGUUGUAAGAGAAGAACGGGUGUGAGAGUGGAAAGUUCACACUGUGACGGUAUCUUACCAGAAAGGGACGGCUAACUACGUG